UACAGAGGGUGCGAGCGUUGUCCGGAAUCACUGGGCGUAAAGGGCGCGUAGGCGGCUUGAUAAGUAGGGGGUGAAAUCUUGCGGCUCAACUGCAAGGCUGCCUCCUAAACUGUCAGGCUUGAGCACAGUAGAGGCAGGUGGAAUUCCCGGUGUAGCGGUGGAAUGCGUAGAGAUCGGGAAGAACAUCGGUGGCGAAGGCGGCCUGCUGGGCUGUUGCUGACGCUGAGGCGCGACAGCGUGGGGAGCAAACCGG
This 253-nucleotide ribosomal RNA is filed under the name uncultured bacterium. RNAcentral describes it as "partial 16S ribosomal RNA". It matches the Rfam family "Bacterial small subunit ribosomal RNA", at positions 524 to 776 of the family's 1533-position model. The record is from RNAcentral.